Molecule: transfer RNA, 70 nt
Filed under: Histioteuthis bonnellii (umbrella squid)
Lineage: Eukaryota; Metazoa; Mollusca; Cephalopoda; Oegopsida; Histioteuthidae
Description: tRNA-Glu
Source: RNAcentral
GUUCUUAUAGUGUAGUGAGCACGUGAGAUUUUCAAUCUUUUAGGGCACUAGCUGAGGUUGUGUUAAGAAU